UUCCAGCAUCGUGAAGAACGCAGCGAAAUCGAUAAUAAUGUGAAUUGCAGAAUUCAUUGAAUCAUCGAGUCUUUGAACGCCAUGCGCCCCUGUAUUCGGGGGGGCAUGCCUGUUCGAGCGUCAUC
This 125-nucleotide ribosomal RNA is filed under the name Protousnea dusenii. RNAcentral's name for it is "partial 5.8S ribosomal RNA". It matches the Rfam family "5.8S ribosomal RNA", at positions 25 to 154 of the family's 154-position model. Rfam says of the family: 5.8S ribosomal RNA (5.8S rRNA) is a component of the large subunit of the eukaryotic ribosome. The record is from RNAcentral. Lineage: Eukaryota; Fungi; Ascomycota; Lecanoromycetes; Lecanorales; Parmeliaceae.